RNAcentral lists this ribosomal RNA (490 nucleotides) under uncultured bacterium. Its description in RNAcentral is "partial 16S ribosomal RNA". It matches the Rfam family "Bacterial small subunit ribosomal RNA", at positions 29 to 507 of the family's 1533-position model. The record is from RNAcentral.
AAUGAACGCUGGCGGCAUGCCUUACACAUGCGAGUCGAACGGCAGCAUGACCUAGCUUGCUAGGUUGAUGGCGAGUGGCGAACGGGUGAGUAAUGCAUCGGAACGUGCCUUUUAGUGGGGGAUAACGUAGCGAAAGUUACGCUAAUACCGCAUAUUCUCUGAGGAGGAAAGCAGGGGACCUUCGGGCCUUGCGCUAGAAGAGCGGCCGAUGUCGGAUUAGCUAGUUGGUGAGGUAAAGGCUCACCAAGGCAACGAUCCGUAGCGGGUCUGAGAGGAUGAUCCGCCACACUGGGACUGAGACAAGGCCCAGACUCCUACGGGAGGCAGCAGUGGGGAAUUUUGGACAAUGGGCGCAAGCCUGAUCCAGCCAUGCCGCGUGAGUGAAGAAGGCCUUCGGGUUGUAAAGCUCUUUCGGCUGGGAAGAAAUCGCACCCUCUAAUACAGGGUGUGGAUGACGGUACCAGCAUAAGAAGCACCGGCUAACUACGUG